AAAGGGAGACCUAAUUCAGGUAGGAGACGAAAAAAAGUAGUCCCAACCAAGAAUCAAUCCCAAAAGGUCGGAGCGAGGCAAAAUUGGCUUUCAAACUAGGUUCUGGGUUCACAUAAGACCUGAAUCAGGAACAAGGGCUAUUAGCUCAGGUGGUUAGAGCGCACCCCUGAUAAGGGUGAGGUCCCUGGUUCGAGUCCAGGAUGGCCCACCUGCACAGGUGGCAAAAACAAAGAAAAGAAGCUCCGAAUCAGCACCUUAUCUUACUCAUAUAGUAAGAGAGAAUGCUGGCUCUGAGUUCAGAGUCCAGAGGAACCUUGAAAACUGCAUAGAGCUAGGUGAAAAAGCCAAAAAAGAAGACCGCAAG
This 364-nucleotide transfer RNA is filed under the name uncultured Microcystis sp. RNAcentral describes it as "partial 16S-23S ribosomal RNA intergenic spacer". The stretch from base 135 to 208 matches the Rfam family "tRNA". Lineage: Bacteria; Bacillati; Cyanobacteriota; Cyanophyceae; Chroococcales; Microcystaceae. The record is from RNAcentral.